AAGCCCAUGGUGGAAAGGAGAUUAAAAACACAUCCUUGCUGUCGGCAAAGAGAAAUCGGAAUGAACUUGGAUGUAUUGCAAAGAUGUCCUGCGAUGUGCAUAACAUAUUUUUCGAACACACUGGGGCAACGACUAGGGUGUGAUUAAUCAUUGUGUGAAAGAAUUGUUCCCUGUUAAGGUCUAGCAGAGAGUUGGGUGGUUUCUGUCUUUUCAAAUCCGGGCCAGCGCUGAAGGGACAUCUCAGAUUCUGUGCAUGGACUCCGGUUCGCGGGAAAAGCGCUCCCUCUGGCAGUCAAAACUGAUUUAAAGGAUGCUGGCUUGCAACCUGGAAGAGGCUUGGAUUUCAGCUCCAGUCUCCAAGCUGAGGCUCGGCAAAUCCCUGGCACUGAAGAGACCCCAGGGAGGUGUCGCCGCUGCCCUGCCCACCUGUAUGCUGUCAUCUCUAGGGCCCCUCCAGAAGUGAGAAGAACCAUCAGCUGUGCGAGGCCCGUCCCACGCCUCCGCCCUCUGAUAAUUACGCCAGCAGGGGCUGGCCCGCUCCCAUUUAUUUAUGAAUGGCGGCAUUUGUAGGGGGAUCGGUAACCGAAUCACCGAUUCAUCUGAGUGAGGCAAACCGUCUGUCCAUGAGUCUUUGGACUGGAUUUCAUCUCUUGACCAAACGGAGCUCACUGAAUUACAUGGCAGACUGUGUUGUCCUUACUAGGAUGAUCAU
Long non-coding RNA from Myotis daubentonii (Daubenton's bat), 712 nucleotides. RefSeq lists it as uncharacterized. Lineage: Eukaryota; Metazoa; Chordata; Mammalia; Chiroptera; Vespertilionidae. The record is from RefSeq and is a predicted model, not a curated record.